RNAcentral lists this ribosomal RNA (253 nucleotides) under uncultured bacterium. RNAcentral's name for it is "partial 16S ribosomal RNA". It matches the Rfam family "Bacterial small subunit ribosomal RNA", at positions 524 to 776 of the family's 1533-position model. The record is from RNAcentral.
UACGUAGGAUCCGAGCGUUGUCCGGAUUUACUGGGUGUAAAGGGUGCGCAGGCGGACUGGUAAGUCAGUGGUGAAAUCUCGUCGCUUAACGACGAAACUGCCUUUGAUACUAUCAGUCUUGAAUCCGGUAGAGAUCUGUGGAAUUCCGAGUGUAGCAGUGAAAUGUGUAGAUAUUCGGAAGAACACCAGUGGCGAAGGCAGCAGAUUGGGCCGGUAUUGACGCUCAGGCACGAAAGCAUGGGGAUCAAACGGG